GACGAACGCUGGCGGCGUGCUUAACACAUGCAGGUCGAACGGAAAGGCCCUGCUUGCCGGGUACUCGAGUGGCGAACGGGUGAGUAACACGUGGGUGAUCUGCCCUGCACUUCGGGAUAAGCUUGGGAAACUGGGUCUAAUACCGGAUAGGAGCCAUCUUUAGUGUGGUGGUUGGAAAGUUUUUUCGGUGUAGGAUGAGCUCGCGGCCUAUCAGCUUGUUGGUGGGGUAAUGGCCUACCAAGGCGGCGACGGGUAGCCGGCCUGAGAGGGUGUACGGCCACAUUGGGACUGAGAUACGGCCCAGACUCCUACGGGAGGCAGCAGUGGGGAAUAUUGCACAAUGGGCGCAAGCCUGAUGCAGCGACGCCGCGUGGGGGAUGAAGGCCUUCGGGUUGUAAACUCCUUUCGCUAGGGACGAAGCUUUUUUGUGACGGUACCUAGAUAAGAAGCACCGGCUAACUACGUG
RNAcentral lists this ribosomal RNA (466 nucleotides) under uncultured bacterium. RNAcentral's name for it is "partial 16S ribosomal RNA". It matches the Rfam family "Bacterial small subunit ribosomal RNA", at positions 28 to 507 of the family's 1533-position model. The record is from RNAcentral.